RNAcentral lists this ribosomal RNA (298 nucleotides) under uncultured bacterium. RNAcentral's name for it is "partial 16S ribosomal RNA". It matches the Rfam family "Bacterial small subunit ribosomal RNA", at positions 28 to 332 of the family's 1533-position model. The record is from RNAcentral.
GACGAACGCUGGCGGCGUGCUUAACACAUGCAAGUCGAGCGGUAAGGCCUUUCGGGUACGACGAGCGGCGAACGGGUGAGUAACACGUGGGUGACCUGCCUUUAGCUUCGGGAUAAGCCUGGGAAACCGGGUCUAAUACCGGAUAUGACCUCAUGUCGCAUGGUGUGGGUGGAAAGUUCUUCGGCUAGAGAUGGGCCUGCGGCCUAUCAGCUUGUUGGUGGGGUGAUGGCCUACCAAGGCGACGACGGGUAGCCGGCCUGAGAGGGCGACCGGCCACACUGGGACUGAGAUACGGCCC